UCAAUGCAAGAGCACAGAGUUUGGUGAGGGACAGAGGGGACGUGCAGAUCUGGCCUCCUGAGGAGUGCAGGGAAGCCCGAUCACACGCACAGAAUGGUCUGUGGAUGUCCCCUCCUUGCUCUUCCUCACAGGGAACCUCCUGAUAAGACAGGAGUGGUUCUGUCACAUCAGUUGCUGAUAGCUUUUUGCGCCACUACUACCAAAUCUGUCCUAACACAUUUUUAAAGGGUAAAUCUAAACAUUUCCUGAUGUCACGUUGCAGGGGUGCCAAGGGUUAGUAUCUCCUUAUCGUGAGGAAGCAGUUUGGUUUCAAGGGACAGCCCAGAUGACCAGAUUGCCCCAGGCCUCAGCUGUCUCCUGGUUAACACCCUCCAGCUGACAGAUCCAGCUUACAGCAGGGCAGGAGAAGGUAUCCUCUGAGCCAGGAGGAACAAAACCAACAAACCCAACCACCAUGCAGUGAUCAGCAUGCUUGCAGCUUUGAGGAGCACCAGCUAGAAUUAUAGUGGGGCAUCGGGUGAUCAGGCUCUCUGAAAAGCAGAUGAUGUAGUAUCAAGCUCAAUGUACUUGUACAGCUGACCUUUUAAACAUUUACCAGAGGCUAUUCUCAGUAAUAGGAAACUACUGAUAUCUGCCUUUGCAGAUGUCCGCAGCUGACGUCAGGAAUUUCAGACACCAUUGUGCAAGUUGUGUUCUAACCUGUAAAACUUGUUGCAGUGAUGAUUAGGGAUAUGACAACUUUCAGAAAAAUUCACAGACUGCAGAGUUUUGGACCUGAAUUUGAAAAUAUUUGUGUGUCAGGAGAUUGUUGAAAAUUGUUGCUUGAAUGACACCUGUUCAAGAUUUGCAUGCUUCACCUGGAACUGCUGAUGGGUUUGAAUGUGGCUCUGCCAGACAUGGCCUUGAAAACCUGAAACAAUGUGAACAGACUGAGAUGGAGGCAAGCAGCCAAGGAGUUGAUCUCAGUUGACAACAGACAGAAAUCAAGCAUUUUGCUGAAUGGAGACAGGUGCAUGAUGGCACUCCUGCACAUUCAUGCUCUUACCUAUUCAGAAAAGAAGAAAUACUGAAAAAAUCUCCCCCUCCCUUACCAUCUCUGUGGCCAUUGUUCAUCCUGUUGCAGGCUGACAGAGCAGGAAUAUGGGAGACCAUCAAGGACUCUCCCCGCUAUUUCACUUCAGCUCUGAAGAACAUCUUUACCUGACAGAUGGUUAAAAAAUCAGAAUUAUUGCCUUUAUGAAGAAUUAAUAUUCUGUUUGUUUCUUUGCAGUUUACCUCAAUUUCAUGCUUCCCAGUAACAGUGUCUUGAAAAAUGCCCUCUGUUAUUUGAAAGGACUAUA
This is a long non-coding RNA of Passer domesticus (house sparrow), 1340 nucleotides long. RefSeq lists it as uncharacterized. The transcript is spliced from 5 exons. The record is from RefSeq and is a predicted model, not a curated record. Lineage: Eukaryota; Metazoa; Chordata; Aves; Passeriformes; Passeridae.